UACGUAGGCAGCGAGCGUUGUUCGGAGUUACUGGGCGUAAAGGGUGUGUAGGCGGUUCUUUAAGUUUGGUGUGAAAUCUCCCGGCUCAACUGGGAGGGUGCGCCGAAUACUGAGGGACUAGAGUGCGGGAGAGGAAAGUGGAAUUCCUGGUGUAGCGGUGAAAUGCGUAGAUAUCAGGAGGAACACCGGUGGUGUAGACGGCUUUCUGGACCGUAACUGACGCUGAGACACGAAAGCGUGGGGAGCAAACAGG
RNAcentral lists this ribosomal RNA (253 nucleotides) under uncultured bacterium. Its description in RNAcentral is "partial 16S ribosomal RNA". It matches the Rfam family "Bacterial small subunit ribosomal RNA", at positions 524 to 776 of the family's 1533-position model. The record is from RNAcentral.